Hirundo rustica (Barn swallow) is the source of this 2323-nucleotide long non-coding RNA. RefSeq lists it as uncharacterized. Lineage: Eukaryota; Metazoa; Chordata; Aves; Passeriformes; Hirundinidae. The record is from RefSeq and is a predicted model, not a curated record. The transcript is spliced from 3 exons.
AGAUGCUGGGCUGGGAUUCAGCAAGGAUAGAAAGCCACAGCCCUGUGGAAGCCUGAAGAGGAGUUGUUGUCAUGCCUGGACACAGGAGAGCGAUGUUUAUGCUCCUGCUCAGGGCAGGGGUCCCCUCUUCUUGGCUGGUCUUAAUCCACCUUUGCUGCUGGCAAAAGGAAGUCUCAGCAUCCGAGUCAGAGUGGGAUGCAAAUGCUGCCUUCCAUGGGUUGUGUUCCCAUGUUCGUGCUGGUGCCUGCUCUGCUAGUUCAGCACUAGUGUGAGACCUCUGCCCCCAGCUCAGUCCCUUGGCUAAUUUGGCAGGCCCCACCUCUCUGAGGGGACAUCACAGCCAUCUGACUGUAGGGCUCUGGGCUGAGAGUAUGUGCCCUCCUCCCUCCCUGGCCAUGCUGCUCCCACGGGAAAGAAGCAGCUGAGGAUCUGAGCACUAAUGUAUGAAGAUCUGAAGGUCUGUGUGGUCAAUCCCCACUGCCCAAACCAGCUGCCACCCGGCCAAUGGCCGCUCGUGUCCCCAGCGGACGGAGCCUGCUCUCCAACAGCCCACACUGCUCGAGUUACACCAUCAAGAACCCACAGAAGAUGAGAGGAAAUGUCAGAGAAAAGAGGACUUUGCAAGUUGCCUAUGGAAGUGCAAGAGCUGUGCUGGCAUGUGACAUCUCUCCAUUCACACUUCUGAUGGUGCACCCUUGUGUCCUGGACAGCUUGGUGCCUUUCGAGACAUGUUUCAGAUCCUGGGGGACUGAACAGGGCUCGUGCCAUGUAGCUUUUGGUCCCUUGCUUUUAGGCUUGCAAGGAGCAGUUAUGUUGCAAGUAUGAGAGCAGUUGCUCAGCCUCUGGCUCUGCUUUGCACAUGCUGCCUCUCCUUUCUGUCUCCAAGAGAAACAGGCAUUCGAGAAACUGCCACAAAAAAUACAUCUCUUUACAUCAUUGCAAAUCAGAUUGGGGAGGAAUCUAGGGUGGAGUUGGAUGAGUGGGUGUUGUCCUUAAGUGUCCCCAAGGGUCUUUUUAGUCCAUGCAUUUGCCGGUGUGAUUUGCAGUCUAUUCUCGUUAAAAGCACAGGCUUUCUCCAGCUUCUUCUUCUUCCUGCCUAAAGAGCUUUCCAAUAGGUAGAAAUUACAUCCUUACCAGUAAAACCCAGGUAAAAUUGACCUGCUCCAUGGGGAGUUGGUGCAAAGGUGCCCAUCCCCUGAGCAGUCCCUGUGCACCACAACGUGGGCAGCUCUUCUUAGCUUCUUACCUUCUGAUGGGAGCUUCUUUUUUUAGGAGGCAAAGCAUAAAUGAAGAAGGUAUUCUGCAGGCAUUGUCAUUUGUGUGCUAAAAACAACACUUGCCUUGCAGGGAAGUCAAAGGUCCAAAUGUGCCUGUAACACGGAAAAAAAAAUGUGUGAGGCCCCAGGUAUGGUGAAUUUGACCCUCCAUCUCCACUUUUCACAGCUUCAUGUUAAUUGGAGAGUAGACACACUGCCAGCUCACUCUCUGGGGAGAAGAAGGCAGGAACCAAUUUGCAGAGCCACAUAAAUAUGGAAGUAGGAUUUUUCUUUUACGUGGGAGGUGUUACCAGUACCACACAUUAUGGUUUCUUGGCUUUAUCACACUGUAGGCUUUUACUGAGACAUGAGUAAGUUUGCUAAAUAAGGAAUAUGAAAAUAGCUUGUGAAAUAGGUUGAGUCAUCAGAGAAAAUCAAAUGGAGUUCUGACACCAGGGCCUCAGUUGUAAAGUCCUACUUUAUUUUACCAUUGCAUUAGAAAUUUCAGGGUCAUUUCAACCUUUUUAUUUCAGCUUCAAAAUUCAAGGUAUUCUGACAUCUAAGUAAAGCUUACCAAAUCAGUUCAGGUUUUCCAUCAGCAGUGGUGAUACACUCCUAUGUGUCCUGCUUAUGAACGCUUGCAGGCAAUGUAAAGGUUACCAAGAGAAAUGGCUUCUGCAGCAAUGGCUGAAAUGCUCAGCACUUCUUCCAGCCUUGUCUAACUAUUGAAGAGUGUGGCCCCUGGAUAUCCCUUUCAUGCACUAGCCUACCCCAUGGAAGUCACUGGCUGUUUUUUGUAGCUUCUGGGAAUCCUAGAAGGACACCAAACAAACCCAUAAAUGCAGUAACUCAAGAUCAGGAGUCAACACUGUAGAUAGAAAGGGGGAAAGAAUCUUAAAGGGCCUCAGGGACAGCAUUGCCUGAGAACUCCCAUAUUUCUGUCAGGGAUUGUUCUCAUAUCCCAAAAUAUGACUUGUUCUGGGGAGAUUGUGGGCAGAAAGAAUCUCUAGGACACAAGCUUGCAUGAGAUCCAAUGGAUCCACAAGACAUGCCAUGCAUGAGGAGAA